This 1521-nucleotide long non-coding RNA is filed under the name Gallus gallus (chicken). RNAcentral describes it as "lncRNA (ENSGALG00010019360.1)". The record is from RNAcentral. Lineage: Eukaryota; Metazoa; Chordata; Aves; Galliformes; Phasianidae.
GCUGUUCCGGUGACGUUUAAUGCGAUUUUGAUGCUGUUGGUAAAACUAGCACAAUUUCCUUUUUCAGAGGAAGAACAUCAUAGAAUGGAUUACAUUUCCUUUGUUUCCGAGGAAGAACACUCAUCUCCUUGGGGCUGCUAGUGUAAGACGUGGUACAAAAGUCCCUGGCUUCAACUACAAACACGUCCACCUAAGGUCCCUGCUGCAGCCACGUGCACUCCGGGGCCCCUUGGGUGAGGCCUUCCAGGCGCCCUCCCGUUCCCUUUGUCCCCAUGGAGCUCCUGUUGCUGAACGGAGCGGUGUGGGCACCAGCUGAGACACGGGCUGCCAUACCGGGACUGCACCCAGCUGGCAGAGAUCAUCGCAGGAACCGCGCUCGGACAGCGCAGGCAUAAUGGGCCUUGGGAAGUGCUCUCCUGGCAGAGAUCAUCGCAGGAACCGCGCUCGGACAGCGCAGGCAUAAUGGGCCUUGGGAAGUGCUCUCGUUGCAGCCCCGGUGCCUCUCUCAAAGCAGACCUCCGGCUUCCUCACGGUUACAGAUGACGCAUGACACGACGCCAGCACUCUGCUCGGGAACGGCAACACUGCUCUUCAUUCUCCCUUCGGAGGCGAAAAGUCGGGCUGCUUCUCAGCGCCCUCGCCGAGAGCUCUGCCGCCGCUGUUCACAGCACCACCACCCGGCGCUGGGGAGGCUCGAGAGCGGCGUGCGGAGGGCGACGGGACGAGCGCGGGGGCAGUGCUGCGAAGGGGGUUCGGGAGGGCCGUCGAGAGCCGCUGCCCGCGGAGCUUCCAGGGACGGCCGCCGCUCCUGCUCUUGCUCCCACCCGCUUCUGUCGGCAGCGCCGGCGAAAGCCUCCUGCCGGCUUAAGGGCGGCUCCGGUCUUCUCAGAACCUGAACUGCUCGCGGGGAAAGGCGGCUGCGACGGGAAGAGAAAGGGAACGAUCCCUGGGGCUCCGCCGGGGCCCGCUCGACCUCUCCCCUCAACCCCCCUGGUGCCGCGCGUCCCCCACCCUUGGCCUGCCCUGAAAAAAGCAGGGAGGUGGGCCUAAAAAUAAAACAGAGGCAAAGAGCUAAGGGAGAAAGAACUCAUUUACUCAUAUGAUAGUGGAAUGCGAGAUAACACAAUACAAUACAAUAUGUCUGGAAUUGAAGCUAAUAAAUUGAAUAAAUGAGAGAGAGCAUUCAAAAAGUGAAGGCCUUACUGUAAUGCUGUAGGGGGGAUGGCUAGGGAGCACGCACCACAGAGACAAGCAGAAAAAGAGAGAAAGCAGGCAAAAAAAAAGAGGCCACCUCAUGACUCACAGUCAUUGUUAUCUUUCCCACCCACUGGAACAUGGAAAUGGAACAGCAAAGUCUUCUGGGUGCUGUAGUUCAUUUUGUAGUUCUUCUCUUCUGAGACAGGUACCUGGAACUAUCGUAAUUCCAUGGAACUGGAGCAUUAACUGUUUAAAUCCCAGUGCACUACAUAAUGUUAUGAUGUGGAAUACCGAUAACAAAAAUCAUAAAGCCAUGGCAGCCCA